Non-coding RNA from Cicer arietinum (chickpea), 86 nucleotides. NCBI's taxonomy places the organism in Eukaryota, Viridiplantae, Streptophyta, Magnoliopsida, Fabales, Fabaceae. The record is from Rfam.
GUGUGCCUGGCUCCCUGUAUGCCAUUUGUAGAGCCUAUCAAGAUAGUGAUGACUUUAGUGAAUGGCGUACAAGGAGCCAUGCAUGC